Molecule: transfer RNA, 74 nt
Filed under: Pteridomonas danica
Lineage: Eukaryota; Dictyochophyceae; Pedinellales
Description: tRNA-His
Rfam family: tRNA
About the family: Transfer RNA (tRNA) molecules are approximately 80 nucleotides in length. Their secondary structure includes four short double-helical elements and three loops (D, anti-codon, and T loops).
Source: RNAcentral
GUAAAUGUAGUCUAAUGGUUAGGGCAAUGUAUUGUGAUUUCAUUAAUUGCGGGUUCAAGUCCCGUCAUUUACCG